This 496-nucleotide ribosomal RNA is filed under the name uncultured bacterium. Its description in RNAcentral is "partial 16S ribosomal RNA". It matches the Rfam family "Bacterial small subunit ribosomal RNA", at positions 28 to 506 of the family's 1533-position model. The record is from RNAcentral.
GAUGAACGCUGGCGGCGUGCCUAAUACAUGCAAGUCGAGCGAACAGACGAGGAGCUUGCUCCUCUGACGUUAGCGGCGGACGGGUGAGUAACACGUGGAUAACCUACCUAUAAGACUGGGAUAACUUCGGGAAACCGGAGCUAAUACCGGAUAAUAUAUUGAACCGCAUGGUUCAAUAGUGAAAGACGGUUUUGCUGUCACUUAUAGAUGGAUCCGCGCCGCAUUAGCUAGUUGGUAAGGUAACGGCUUACCAAGGCGACGAUGCGUAGCCGACCUGAGAGGGGGAUCGGCCACACUGGAACUGAGACACGGUCCAGACGCCUACGGGAGGCAGCAGUAGGGAAUCUUCCGCAAUGGGCGAAAGCCUGACGGAGCAACGCCGCGUGAGUGAUGAAGGUCUUCGGAUCGUAAAACUCUGUUAUUAGGGAAGAACAAAUGUGUAAGUAACUAUGCACGUCUGGACGGUACCUAAUCAGAAAGCCACGGCUAACUACGU